This 399-nucleotide ribosomal RNA is filed under the name uncultured bacterium. RNAcentral describes it as "bacterial SSU rRNA". It matches the Rfam family "Bacterial small subunit ribosomal RNA", at positions 64 to 507 of the family's 1533-position model. The record is from RNAcentral.
UAGGGGGUGUAGCAAUACAUCACCGGCGGACGGGUGCGUAACGCGUGGGAAUGUACCUAUUGGUUCGGAACAACACAGGGAAACUUGUGCUAAUACCGAAUGUGCCCGAAAGGGGAAAGAUUUAUCGCCAAUGGAUCAGCCCGCGUUCGAUUAGCUAGUUGGUGAGGUAAUGGCUCACCAAGGCGACGAUCGAUAGCUGUUCUGAGAGGAAGAUCAGCCACACUGGGACUGAGACACGGCCCAGACUCCUACGGGAGGCAGCAGUUGGGAAUCUUGGACAAUGGGGGAAACCCUGAUCCAGCCAUGCCGCGUGAGUGAUGAAGGCCUUCGGGUUGUAAAACUCUUUCGCGCACGACGAUAAUGACGGUAGUGCGAGAAGAAGCUCCGGCUAACUUCGUG